Callithrix jacchus (white-tufted-ear marmoset) is the source of this 104-nucleotide small nuclear RNA. The record is from Ensembl. Lineage: Eukaryota; Metazoa; Chordata; Mammalia; Primates; Cebidae.
GUGCUUGCUUUGGCAGCACAUAUAUAAAGAUUAGAAAAAUGCAGCGAUUAGCAUGGCCCCUCUACAAGGAUGACACACAAAUUCCUGAAGUGUUCCAUUAAUUA